AUUGAACGCUGGCGGCAGGCUUAACACAUGCAAGUCGAGCGCGAAAGUUCUUCGGAAUGAGUAAAGCGGCGGACGGGUGAGUAAUACAUGGGAAUCUGCCUGGUAGUGGGGGACAACGUUUCGAAAGGAGCGCUAAUACCGCAUACGCCCUACGGGGAAAGGGGGGAUCGCAAGACCUCUCGCUAUCAGAUGAGCCCAUG
RNAcentral lists this ribosomal RNA (200 nucleotides) under uncultured bacterium. RNAcentral's name for it is "partial 16S ribosomal RNA". It matches the Rfam family "Bacterial small subunit ribosomal RNA", at positions 30 to 235 of the family's 1533-position model. The record is from RNAcentral.